RNAcentral lists this ribosomal RNA (459 nucleotides) under uncultured bacterium. RNAcentral describes it as "partial 16S ribosomal RNA". It matches the Rfam family "Bacterial small subunit ribosomal RNA", at positions 338 to 795 of the family's 1533-position model. The record is from RNAcentral.
CCUACGGGAGGCAGCAGUGAGGAAUAUUGGUCAAUGGACGAAAGUCUGAACCAGCCAUGCCGCGUGCAGGAUGACGGCUCUAUGAGUUGUAAACUGCUUUUGUAUUAGGGUAAACACCCCUACGUGUAGGGGCUUGAAAGUAUAAUACGAAUAAGGAUCGGCUAACUCCGUGCCAGCAGCCGCGGUAAUACGGAGGAUGCGAGCGUUAUCCGGAUUUAUUGGGUUUAAAGGGUGCGCAGGCGGCCUGUUAAGUCAGCGGUAAAAGCCCGGGGCUCAACCCCGGCGAGCCGUUGAAACUGGCGGGCUGGAGUUGGAGAGAAGUACGCGGAAUGCGCGGUGUAGCGGUGAAAUGCUUAGAUAUCGCGCAGAACCCCGAUUGCGAAGGCAGCGUACCGGCUCCACACUGACGCUGAGGCACGAAAGCGUGGGUAUCGAACAGGAUUAGAUACCCGAGUAGUC